Molecule: long non-coding RNA, 2012 nt
Organism: Anopheles stephensi (Asian malaria mosquito)
Lineage: Eukaryota; Metazoa; Arthropoda; Insecta; Diptera; Culicidae
Exons: 4
Source: RefSeq, a predicted model, not a curated record
AUCGACUACGCAGCCAAACGGUGGAGUUUCCUAUUUCGGUGAAGCAUACUGCAGGAAGUUGCACCGCAGGACGAACCGCGCGCGCCAAGCUCAGCCGACGAGACAACGACGCGGCAAACGCUAACGGUUGAGUGCAUUCGACAAAAAAGGAUUUUCCAAACAAACAAGUGAUGGUGAAGCUGGUGAUGGGGGAUGGUGAGUGGUGUUAGUACACUAAGGCCACAGGAAGAAAAUUAGUGUGAAGAGGUUCGGCUAAGUAAAACCCAUUGUAAGGGCCCAUUGCCAUUGUUACUUGCUGGUGAAGAAAGUGUUUGUAGCAGCAAAAGGCUAAGCUCGUGUUUUAGUGCUUGCUGAGUGAUUUUCCUGGUGUAAUAAAGAAAGAAAUAAAUCGACCCAUCGAAUUGGGCUAAAAAUAGUGUUCUUUAGUGAAAGUGAGUGUAAAAUUAGAGAUAAAAAAGGAAAAGUUACAUCAAAAGUUAAAAUAGUAAAUAAGAAAGCGAGUUUAAUAGUGAUUUCGUGUCCAAUAUUCAACCCUAAAAAAAGUUGUCGUGUCAUUAAAAGAAAAUCUAUCUCUAAAUGAAACGUACCCACAGUUUCCCACCCUGCCGCUUUCCCAAAAGGCUCUAAAGCAGAAAUAACAGUUCCGCUCUCCGGUUCCCCGGUGCUGGAGGUGAUUUACGAAACAACCUAACCGAAACCAACGCGUCGGAGCUUCUUGUGCGGUUUGGAUUCGUGUUCUCGUACCGUACCGACCUGCGUGUGUGUGUGUGUGUGUGUUUACCGGGUGACCACAAUCGCAUUCGAUUUCACACCCUCCCCGAGGGAGCCAAUGAGGGGUUGAAGGAAGAAAAAAAGCCUAAAAGAUUGAAACCGACUCUCUUGGGGUUGAAAUUCCUUGCCCGGAUUCCGAAGCAAAAGGGUGAACGGUGUGGUCUACCUUCAUCUGCCACACUGCUUUCCGCUGCUGCCAACCGGAGCCCCAGUGCCGAGCCGCCAUCGAAACGUGUACGGAACAGAAACAGUACAGUUGAAAGGAUUUAUUUUGAAAUUGAAAAACGGACACAAUCCCCCGAUUAGAUCAUUAAUGGAGCGUUGAGCAUCGAUCCGCUCGGUCGCGGUUGGCUGAAGUGUGCAGAACUUGGCGGAACAAUCGCCGGGACACUGGCCGUGACUUGCAGUGAUGGAUUAAGAGCAGUUGACCGAGUAGGUGGUGACAAUUGUCCUCCCAGAUACGUUUUGCACUGUGAAAGUAAUAGUGAUAGUAGUGGAAGAAUAGUGAACCGGAUCGAAUAGCGGUGAGGCUCAUCCCGGGGAUAUACCGAACUCCGUACCAUGGGCACUGUGGUUUGCCUUCCGGCUGGACCGGAUUUGAUAUCUCAGUGUAACCGUUGUGCUGCCUGCCUUCCGAAAGCAUUUGGUAAACGAGGAGUCGCUACGCACUGUCCAACGGUGCCAUCAAGUGAUAGUGUCUAUAGGCUUGCCGUAAGUCCUUACUCGAUACCUGCGUGUGUCUGUGUGUGUGCCUUGUAUGUGUGUAAUCUUCGAUGUGCGCAAUCCUUGCGAUCUGUGUGUCUGUGUGGCAUUCUCUCUAUCCUGCUCUCUAUCCCUCUCUCUUUAUCUAUCCGCUGCAAUAAUUUCUAUGUGUAUCUGUGUACAGCGGUGUGUACGUGCGUGUGCAUUUGAUGUAUUUCUUUCCAAAACAAAAACUGUCCCCUAUUGCAUCUUUGUGUGGCCCUCAUUCACAUUCACUGUCGUCCAUUCUUUUCUCACUUCUGCUCACUUUUCUUGUGAACAACUCUCGGACCAGAAACAGGAAAGGAUUUUUCCCAACCCAGCGUGACUGAUGCGGUUUAUUUACGCACGAAAACCCCAUUUCGGUUCGUUGUACAUUUUUGAAACUAGCAAAGCGAUAAAACAUGCAAAAAAAGAAGUUUUAUGUAACAGGGAAAAUCUUUUUUUCCUCGCAAAAGUACAUCUUCAAAAUCAUAUUCUCUUCCACUUUCAUGUUGGUC